AUGGCAUCGAAGCUCCAGAUUUUUCUCCCUAUCCAUCUUUAUCUUGUCAGCUUAUACACCAAAUCGAUGCCCUGUGCCACCUCCGUUGCCAUAAGUAGCCACCUCCGCUCUCAUAUCAAGGCAUCUCCACACUCACUCAUCCCUUGGAGAAUCCAUACAGUAGACAAUUUGCUCAGCCUUCCAAUGGCAACCACCACCAUGUCCCUCUCCUCCUCGACCUUUGCCAGCAAGGCGGUGAAGAACGUGUCGUCAUCGGCUCUCUUCGGCGAGGCCCGCGUCACCAUGCGCAAAACUGCAGCGAAGGCAAAGCAGGUUUCCUCUGGCAGCCCAUGGUACGGUGCCGACCGUGUGUUGUACCUCGGCCCACUCUCCGGUGAGCCCCCGAGCUACCUCACCGGUGAGUUCCCUGGCGAUUAUGGUUGGGACACUGCCGGACUUUCGGCUGACCCGGAGACCUUCUCCAAGAACCGGGAGCUGGAGGUGAUCCACUGUCGUUGGGCCAUGCUUGGGGCACUUGGUUGCGUCUUCCCUGAGUUGCUCGCCCGCAACGGCGUCAAGUUUGGCGAGGCCGUUUGGUUCAAGGCCGGCUCCCAGAUCUUUAGUGAGGGUGGUCUCGACUACCUCGGCAACCCCAGCCUUGUGCACGCGCAAAGCAUCCUAGCUAUUUGGGCAUGCCAAGUCGUGCUCAUGGGUGCUGUCGAGGGGUACCGGGUUGCCGGCGGCCCACUUGGCGAGAUCGUCGACCCACUAUAUCCAGGAGGCAGCUUUGACCCUCUCGGCCUAGCCGAUGACCCCGAGGCAUUCGCCGAGCUCAAGGUGAAGGAGAUCAAGAACGGUCGCCUCGCCAUGUUCUCAAUGUUCGGCUUCUUUGUCCAAGCUAUCGUCACGGGCAAGGGACCACUUGAGAACCUCGCUGACCACAUCGCUGACCCCGUCAACAACAACGCCUGGGCAUUCGCCACCAACUUUGUCCCCGGCAAGUAA
RNAcentral lists this ribosomal RNA (984 nucleotides) under Triticum aestivum (bread wheat). Its description in RNAcentral is "partial small subunit ribosomal RNA". Lineage: Eukaryota; Viridiplantae; Streptophyta; Magnoliopsida; Poales; Poaceae. The record is from RNAcentral.